RNAcentral lists this ribosomal RNA (529 nucleotides) under uncultured bacterium. Its description in RNAcentral is "bacterial SSU rRNA". It matches the Rfam family "Bacterial small subunit ribosomal RNA", at positions 774 to 1294 of the family's 1533-position model. The record is from RNAcentral.
AGUGAAUAGAUACCCUGGUAGUCCUGGCAGUAAACGGUGCGCGUUUGGUGUGGGAGGAUUCGACCCCUUCUGUGCCGGAGCUAAACGCGUUAAACGCGCCGCCUGGGGAGUACGGUCGCAAGAUUAAAACUCAAAGAAAUUGACGGGGGCCCGCACAAGCGGUGGAGUAUGUGGCUUAAUUCGAUGCAACGCGAAGAACCUUACCUAGCCUUGACAUGCAUCUCUAAGUCGGUGAAAGCCGGCGACCAUAGCAAUAUGGAAUUUGCACAGGUGCUGCAUGGCUGUCGUCAGCUCGUGUCGUGAGAUGUUGGGUUUAAGUCCCGCAACGAGCGCAACCCCUGUGAACUGUUGCCACCACACUACGGUGUGAGCACUCUGUUCAGACUGCCCUGUGAAACGGGGAGGAAGGUGGGGAUGACGUCAAGUCAGCAUGGCCCUUACGGCUAGGGCUGCACACGUACUACAAUGCUCAGUACAGAACGAACCGAAACCGCGAGGUGGAGGAAAUCCCGAAAACUGAGCUCAAUUC